AGUGAACGCUGGCGGUAGGCCUAACACAUGCAAGUCGAACGGCAGCACAGUAAGAGCUUGCUCUUACGGGUGGCGAGUGGCGGACGGGAGAGGAAUAUAUCGGAAUCUACUUUUUCGUGGGGGAUAACGUAGGGAAACCUACGCUCAUAUAGCAUACGACCUACGAGUGAAAGGAGGGGAUCUUCGGACCUUGCGCGAUUGAAUGAGCCGAUGUUGGAUUGGCUGGUUGGGGGGGUAAAGGCCCACGAAGGGGAGGAUACGUGGCUGGUCUGAGAGGAUGAUCGGCCACACUGGAACUUGGCCACGGUCCAGACUCCUACGGGAGGCAGCAGUGGGGAAUAUGGGACAGCGGGCGCAAGCCUGAUCCAGCCAUACCGCGUGGGUUAAGAAGGCCUUCGGGUUGUAAAGCCCUUUUGUUGGUAAAGAAAAGCAGCAGGUUAAUACCCCGCUGUUCUGACGGUACCCAAAGAAUAAGCACCGGCUAACUUCGUG
This 492-nucleotide ribosomal RNA is filed under the name uncultured bacterium. Its description in RNAcentral is "partial 16S ribosomal RNA". It matches the Rfam family "Bacterial small subunit ribosomal RNA", at positions 29 to 507 of the family's 1533-position model. The record is from RNAcentral.